GGCAACAUGAGAGCCUAACUGUCUCUUAUAACAAAUCAAUUAAACUGAUCUUCUAGUACAAAAGCUAGAAUUCCCCCAUAAGACCAGAAGACCCUGUGAAGCUUUAAUUAACCUAUUAAACCCCAUAAUAGCUAAUUUCGGUUGGGGCGACCUUGGAACAAAAGAAAACUUCCAAACAUGCAACUCACUCGCACCAAAGGCUAACAAGCCACUAUUAGACCCAGUACAUCUGAUAAAUGAACCAAGUUACUCCAGGGAUAACAGCGCUAUCUUCUUCAAGAGCCCAUAUCAAAAAGAAGGUUUACGACCUCCAUGUUGGAUCAGGACAUCCUAGUAAUGCAACAGUUUCUAAGGGUUCGUUUGUUCAACGAUUAACAGUCCUACGUGA
Molecule: ribosomal RNA, 388 nt
Filed under: Echis multisquamatus
Lineage: Eukaryota; Metazoa; Chordata; Lepidosauria; Squamata; Viperidae
Description: partial 16S ribosomal RNA
Rfam family: Bacterial large subunit ribosomal RNA
Source: RNAcentral